Molecule: non-coding RNA, 257 nt
Organism: Paramuricea clavata
Lineage: Eukaryota; Metazoa; Cnidaria; Anthozoa; Malacalcyonacea; Plexauridae
Source: the annotation of a GenBank genome assembly
AACGCAGCUAUAGGAUUUAUAUUUUAAGUUAUCUUGCAUCAAUAAAUUUUGCGGGACUUCGCCUACUUUGGGGGCCUUUUGCGGUCCUUCGUCCCUUUUUAGCUGAGGUCUAAGGCGCCUGCCUUUGUAUUCAAAACACUGUAUGAAAAAUCCUUUGUGUAGAGACUAUGUAAAAUGAAUAAGGGGCGGACCAUUAGAAAAUGGGGGAGGGGGGGUGGCAAUUUCAGAAAAAAAAAUCGUGCAAGGUCAGUUCAGAG